This 301-nucleotide ribosomal RNA is filed under the name uncultured bacterium. RNAcentral's name for it is "partial 16S ribosomal RNA". It matches the Rfam family "Bacterial small subunit ribosomal RNA", at positions 509 to 807 of the family's 1533-position model. The record is from RNAcentral.
CAGUAGCCGCGGGAAAACGGAGGGUGCAAGCGUUAUCCGGAUUUAUUGGGUUUAAAGGGUCCGUAGGCGGACUUAUAAGUCAGUGGUGAAAGCCUGUCGCUUAACGAUAGAACUGCCAUUGAUACUGUAAGUCUUGAGUAUAUUUGAGGUAGCUGGAAUAAGUAGUGUAGCGGUGAAAUGCAUAGAUAUUACUUAGAACACCAAUUGCGAAGGCAGGUUACCAAGAUAUAACUGACGCUGAGGGACGAAAGCGUGGGUAGCGAACAGGAUUAGAUACCCCCGUAGUCCCUGUCUCUUAUAC